GAAUGAAGUGAAACAAAUUUUACUGACUCAAAAAUACCAGCCUAAAUUCAUCCCUUCCACAAAAUGAAGGAAACCCGUUUGUUGCCUUGAGUAUAGCUAAUUUUACUAAACAGAGAUUUCUAUUUAUUUAUUUAUUUAUUUAUUGUCUUAUAAAGGUCAAAUAAAGACUAUACAAAAUAGAUGACUUUAUUUCCAUUAUCUUGAUUCUGAUCAAAUUAAAAUUUGCUGCUGAACUGACUUUUUUUUAUUCUUGAGUGUUCAGACUAACAAUAUGAAUUUCAUCAUAUAUUUUUUUCUCAGUGUCUGAAAAUGUUUUGGACACAAUGCAUGGGAAAAGCAGAUGGAAUGCAUGGGAAAAGCAACUGGCUUACGUGGCUUCCACAUGAUGUUGCUCAGUGCUAUGCCUCAGCAGAACUAAGUUGAAAACCUGAUACAGAAUACUGUGGCUUUUAUCAAAGGAAUGUAAGGAGAGGGACAGGCUGCAGCAGCAUACUGCAGAAUAAUAGCUGAGAAUGUGAAAUGAGUUAACAGUGCCACUGUCAAAAGUCUUCAGGAAAAAAAAAUGUGGUGCAAGUGGUUACGACUAACAAGUUCUGACCUCUACUUUAACAACAUCUACUGGGAUUACAUUUUAAGAUACAUUUUAAGAUACAGAUGGUUUUGCAUUUUUGCUAAAAUAAGUAUGUUCAGAUUUGUUUUAAUGGCAAUUGAGAGUGGUGAUACGUGUUCUAAAAAGUUGAUGUGUUUGUAUGGAUUUUUUUUUCUAGAAAAAUACUGCUUUUAAGAUUGUAGAGGAAGUACAAAAAAUUCACAGAAAUGUCAGUGUAAAAGAUGUAAUGAAUUUAUGA
Molecule: long non-coding RNA, 848 nt
Filed under: Anser brachyrhynchus (Pink-footed goose)
Lineage: Eukaryota; Metazoa; Chordata; Aves; Anseriformes; Anatidae
Description: lncRNA (ENSABRG00000001943.1)
Source: RNAcentral